UCCUACGGGAGGCAGCAGUAGGGAAUCUUCCACAAUGGGCGAAAGCCUGAUGGAGCAACGCCGCGUGGGUGAAGAAGGUCUUCGGAUCGUAAAACCCUGUUGUUAGAGAAGAAAGUGCGUGAGAGUAACUGUUCACGAUUCGACGGUAUCUAACCAGAAAGCCACGGCUAACUACGUGCCAGCAGCCGCGGUAAUACGUAGGUGGCAAGCGUUAUCCGGAUUUAUUGGGCGUAAAGGGAACGCAGGCGGUCUUUUAAGUCUGAUGCGAAAGCCUUCGGCUUCACCGGAGUCGUGCAUUGGAAACU
RNAcentral lists this ribosomal RNA (305 nucleotides) under uncultured bacterium. Its description in RNAcentral is "bacterial SSU rRNA". It matches the Rfam family "Bacterial small subunit ribosomal RNA", at positions 337 to 634 of the family's 1533-position model. The record is from RNAcentral.